GUAUCGACACCAUAACAAACAUAGAAUAUUGGCGCUGGGUUUUUUCGGGGUCUCAUUACAAGUCGAUUUACCAUAUCACACUCGCAAAUUGCCACACCAGGCGACUGUUACAUGCUAGACCAAAGAGAGGAACAACAAAUAUCGACGCAGAGAGAGAUGAAGUCUCCAAACUUCACAAACUGAGCAGAUUUACCAAAUCAAUUCUCAAUUGCCAU
This 215-nucleotide unclassified non-coding RNA is filed under the name Hevea brasiliensis (rubber tree). The record is from RNAcentral. Lineage: Eukaryota; Viridiplantae; Streptophyta; Magnoliopsida; Malpighiales; Euphorbiaceae.